RNAcentral lists this ribosomal RNA (253 nucleotides) under uncultured bacterium. RNAcentral describes it as "partial 16S ribosomal RNA". It matches the Rfam family "Bacterial small subunit ribosomal RNA", at positions 524 to 776 of the family's 1533-position model. The record is from RNAcentral.
UACGUAGGGGGCAAGCGUUGUCCGGAAUCAUUGGGCGUAAAGCGCGUGUAGGCGGUUCGGUAAGUCUGCUGUGAAAGUCGAGGGCUCAACCCUCGAAUGCCGGUGGAUACUGUCGGGCUAGAGUACGGAAGAGGCGAGUGGAAUUCCUGGUGUAGCGGUGAAAUGCGCAGAUAUCAGGAGGAACACCAAUUGCGAAGGCAGCUCGCUGGGACGUUACUGACGCUGAGACGCGAAAGCGUGGGGAGCAAACAGG